CUGCACCACCCAAUAUCAAUGCUAAUGUAUGUGAUGGCGAUAGUCCUUGAAACACAACGAUAACCGAAUGUCGAUGGCUCGCCUCACACAAUCCUCCUCAAAAUCAGUGAUAUCAAAUACACUCUGUCAAUAACUAAUAUUAAAAAAUACUAUGCAAAUUAAAUAUUCAUAAUAUAAUUUAUUUUACCUAUAAGUGAGCGUAGAAAAUCUCUCUCUAAGCCGGU
Molecule: long non-coding RNA, 224 nt
Filed under: Elaeis guineensis (African oil palm)
Lineage: Eukaryota; Viridiplantae; Streptophyta; Magnoliopsida; Arecales; Arecaceae
Description: long non-coding RNA (EGUI_LNC045138)
Source: RNAcentral